This 67-nucleotide transfer RNA is filed under the name Pulchriphyllium bioculatum. RNAcentral describes it as "tRNA-Tyr". Lineage: Eukaryota; Metazoa; Arthropoda; Insecta; Phasmatodea; Phylliidae. The record is from RNAcentral.
AGUAAGGUGGCUGAAAUAUUAGGCGUUAAAUUGUAAUUUUAAUUAUAGGUGUUAAUUCUUCUUACUA